GGAUGUGAGGGCAAUCUGGCUGCGACAUCUAUCACCCCUUUGAUCGCCAGGGUUGAUUCAGCUGAUCUGGCUGGCUAGUCGGGUGUCCCCUUCCUCCCUCACCACUCCACGUGCUUCCCUCCAGAAGCUGCACGCUCUGUCAAAGAGGAUGACCUUCCCUGAUAGAGGAGAGGACCAUCCUCCUGUCAAGGGUAUACGAGUAGCUGUGCUCCCCUGCUAGAACCUACAAACACGCUCUCAAGACUCCAGUUUUAAUACAUUUUCCUUUAAUCUGAACACUAAUCAAGAAUAUUUGAUUUCAUGAAAUUAGGGUGAAAUAAUCAUAUUUAU
Molecule: unclassified non-coding RNA, 330 nt
Organism: Loxodonta africana (African savanna elephant)
Lineage: Eukaryota; Metazoa; Chordata; Mammalia; Proboscidea; Elephantidae
Gene: 7SK
Rfam family: 7SK RNA
About the family: 7SK was discovered as an abundant small nuclear RNA in the mid-70s but a possible function has only recently been suggested. Two independent studies have found that 7SK RNA binds the CDK9/cyclin T complex (known as elongation factor P-TEFb). P-TEFb activates transcription by phosphorylating the C-terminal domain of RNA polymerase II.
Source: Ensembl